CAACCUGAGUAGAGCGGCGCACGGGUGCGUAACACGUGGGUAAUCUGCCUUAGAGUCGAGGAUAACUUUCCGAAAGGUUAGCUAAUACUCGGUAAGCUUACGGUGUCUUCGGACACUGUGAGAAAAGUAGGCCUCUAUUUAUAAGCUUACGCUCUGAGAUGAGCCCGCGGCCCAUCAGCUAGUUGGCGGGGUAACGGCCCACCAAGGCAACGACGGGUAGCUGGUCUGAGAGGACGAUCAGCCACACUGGAACUGAGACACGGUCCAGACUCCUACGGGAGGCAGCAGUGGGGAAUUUUCCACAAUGGGCGAAAGCCUGAUGGAGCAACGCCGCGUGUGUGAUGAAGGUUUUCGGAUCGUAAAGCACUUUCGACCGGGACGAAAAACCUCUGGCUAACAUCCAGGGGCCUGACGGUACCGGGAGAAGAAGCACCGGCUAACUCUGUGCCAGCAGCCGCGGUAAUACAGAGGGUGCAAGCGUUGUUCGGAAUUAUUGGGCGUAAAGCGCGUGUAGGCGGCUUGGCAAGUCAGAUGUGAAAGCCCUCGGCUUAACCGAGGAAGUGCGUCUGAAACUGCUGAGCUUGAGUGUCGGAGAGGAUGGCGGAAUUCCGCAAGUAGAGGUGAAAUUCGUAGAUAUGCGGAGGAACACCGGUGGCGAAGGCGGCCAUCUGGACGACUACUGACGCUGAGACGCGAAAGCGUGGGGAGCAAACAGGAUUAGAUACCCUGGUAGUCCACGCCCUANACGAUGUCAACUGGUUGUUGGGAAUUUACUUUCUC
RNAcentral lists this ribosomal RNA (780 nucleotides) under uncultured bacterium. RNAcentral describes it as "bacterial SSU rRNA". It matches the Rfam family "Bacterial small subunit ribosomal RNA", at positions 81 to 841 of the family's 1533-position model. The record is from RNAcentral.